UGCUCAAAUUCUACACUCAACAGCCCCUGUUCUUAAGGGCCCCCUUGACCCAUUUGUUGCCAUGGAUCUCACCUAAUGUCCUGCCUUACUCUAAAGAUUCCAGAACCAUCAUUUCGGGACUGUUUUGUAGCCUCUGGAGAGUGCCAUCUACAAAGCCUCUCCCCACCCUCUGAGCUUCCCCCUCAAUCCUCUUGGCUACUGGAUAGCAGUAACAGUGUUUGCCCCUUAUCCUGGGAGGAACAGGUUAGGGCAGGGAGGAUAGAGGGGAGAUUAACCCCUCUUGGGUGGUGUGGUGUCCACUAACGGUUGUCUUUCCAGCAGCCAGACUCCUAACUACUUCCUUCUUCUUAAGAGACUUGAGAUUUUUGUCCAGGUGUUCACCCCUUCCACGUGUGACUGAAGAGAUGCUAUUCCAACCCACCUCGGGGGAUGGCUCCUGGUUAUUCAGCCAAUCCUAGUGACAGCGACCUACUUGAAGACGUCCUCUCCUUGCUGUAAGGCCACCACAAAACACACCAAACACCAGAGACAACCCACUCUCAAGUCUCCACCAGACCCAGCAUGCUCCUGCUCCAUGCUCCAGGACUGAACACAGAGUGGACGGAGUGGGGCUCUCCUGUUCCGGAACCUGCCCAACAAAUUCAUCUGUAAAUACUUCUUGUGGGUCCUGAGUCUACAUCUCAUGUCUUUAUUAUCAUUCCUGGUGGAAGGCCUGGUGUGACAUCUGCCCAGCAAAGCUGUGUGGUGGUAAAGCGCCUAAGGAUAAGGACCCUGCAGUCCCAAGUUCAAGACACAGAGUCGCACACUCCACCAGCAGAGAAGCCAGCCCCACGAAGGAGAAUGGCAGUGAGCUGAUGAGCCUGUGAGUGUGUCUCCCAAACACAUCAACCUAAUAACUGCUCGUCCUACUCCCCCGGCAAUAACAUGAGCUGAGGAGUGGAAAGUUUUCCUAACAGGUGCGGCUGCUCACUCCGACCUAUGCUCCACAUCACUGUCCUCCAACUGCCUCGCGGUCCCCACCAGAACCGAGUCAAUGCCACCGCCAUGCCUGUGACUCCCAAAACUGAAACAAAAGCAGCACGUAGAUAAAUUCUGCAUCUGUCAAACAAAACUGCUGAAGGAGCCAGGUCUGCAGAGUCUAUGGAGAAGGGCUCACUCCAUACGCGGUCAUUGCGCAAACAACACGGCCCACUGAGGAGACGUCACACAGUU
Molecule: long non-coding RNA, 1212 nt
Organism: Lepus europaeus (European hare)
Lineage: Eukaryota; Metazoa; Chordata; Mammalia; Lagomorpha; Leporidae
Exons: 6
Source: RefSeq, a predicted model, not a curated record